This 401-nucleotide ribosomal RNA is filed under the name uncultured bacterium. Its description in RNAcentral is "bacterial SSU rRNA". It matches the Rfam family "Bacterial small subunit ribosomal RNA", at positions 355 to 773 of the family's 1533-position model. The record is from RNAcentral.
UGGGGAAUCUUGCACAAUGGGGGCAACCCUGAUGCAGCGACGCCGCGUGAGCGAUGAAGCCCUUCGGGGCGUAAAGCUCUUUCGACCGGAACGAUAAUGACGGUACCGGGAGAAGAAGCUGCGGCUAACUACGUGCCAGCAGCCGCGGUAAUACGUAGGCAGCAAGCGUUGUUCGGAGUUACUGGGCGUAAAGAGUGCGUAGACGGUUUUCUAAGUUCGGUGUGAAAUCUCCCGGCUUAACUGGGAGGGUGCGCCGAAGACUGGGAAGCUGGAGUGUGGGAAAGGCAGGCGGAAUUCCUGGUGUAGCGGUGAAAUGCGUAGAUAUCAGGAGGAACACCGGCGGUGUAGACGGCUUGCUAGACCAUAACUGACGCUGAGGCACGAAAGCGUGGGUAGCAAAC